CUACAGCAGAGGUUAGCGCGCGGCGGCGGCAUGGAUUUCCACCACUUCGACCUGUGUUUUUGUCUGCUGCUCAAAGCUUGCACCGCCGUAUUUCUCUCUUCUCCCCUUCUCGUGUUCACAGCUCUACAACCCGUGCGCGGAAGUCACCGACUCCACAAACGGAAACUUUGGCCUGUUCAAGGGCGUCACGUUGAGAAACCGCCUACGUUUUUUUCCCCUUCUAAAACGUACCGUUUGGUGCAGUCCAUCAGUUCCCUCACGAAAAACGAAGUGUUUUCGUCCUCACAGGAUCGGAAUGCGUAGGGGUGCAGCGGCUAACCGCACCGUCCAAACCUCGGAAGAACAUUCUUUGUAAAGUGAAAAAGAAAAGCAGACACCAGCACACUGCGAUGCGGCCUGUCCCGCCCUGCAAAACGGCAAGCCCCCGAAAAAGAAUCCUCAGGGCAGCGUGUGGAGUUGCCUGAUCAGUGUGAAGGCUUUCAGCGAUCGAGAGGUUGCGAAACUGCGAGAGACUUCGCUGCCACGAGCAGAUUUUAUCUCUUCCUUUUUUUUUGGAAUUGCGUGCAUGCAACCAUUGCUGUCUCUUGGUUUUUGCCCACCGGGUUGGGGCUUGCUGGAUGCCGUCACUGUGCCUGGGCAGGAAGGGAGAAAAAACUCUGAACAUUUCAUCGCUUCUUGUCGCUCUUGUCGCGUCUCUGCGCUGGCAUUUUCUGUGGGAUUUUCGGCCUUUCUUUCGGGAGAAGGAUGAACAGCUUUUAUCUUGGUUAGCUGUUUCCUACAGAAGCGCGAACCAGCUCGUCUCCCCUGGGAUCAAGCUAGUGCUAUCGAGUCCCUCCCGAAAUAGUCUUUUCUCCCGUCUGCGUUAAGUUGGCAAACCCCCGCUUUUGUGCGAUGAAUUGUCUCGAACACGUGGAAGCAUGAAUUGACUGAAUAUCUAGCGGAGAAAGGAGCAAAGUUCUCUUUCUCGGGCGCCGUGCAAUCUUUCCAUCGUCUCUCCAACAACUCAGCUGAGUGUGGGAAUGGCUGAGUCUUUACCGUUCUUUUUGCUCGUUCCGUUGGCUUCAGGCGCUUUGAGGAAGCAGGCAAUGCACGCGCGGCCUUCGUUUUUUCGAUUUCACACUUCUGCCAAGAGCUAGGUUUCGCCAUCCGAAACUGCCGUACCCCUCCCCUCGUGAACGCAAGCUUUGUACACCAGCCUGCUUCAUCUCUUGUCCUGUCUCCAGAAGAGAGGUUUGCAUGGUUAACAGUCCGUGCGUAGGCAAGAGUAAGGAUCAACGCGUGGAUUGCUGUGUAUUUCUGUAGCACUGAUAUUGAGGUCGAUCUCCAGAGUUCCGAGAGCACGCUGCGUUGGGGCCUUUGCACGCUGCUUGCGCUUUGCGUUGUUGUUUGAUAACAUUUCUUUUUUUGAAAGGUCUCUGUCGACUCAUUCGGCAGCAGUCCCUGAAGGACUUCUUUCUUUCUCAUUUCCAUGGCGGCCCGUACCCACACAGUGUCGAGGGGCAGCACGACAACCACCGUGCUGCCCACGGCUGUGGUGCAUAUUGUAGAGAAUCCGAGCGGCUUGCUCGGGUCCCCGACUCCGGAUACGACUGUGACCGUUUCGGAGCGUCGUGUCAGUUGGGAUACGGCUGCAAUUGACAACGAAAACAUGAACAAGAAGAAGAGUAAAAAGUGCUGCAUUUUUCACAAGCGGCGAGACUUCGGGGAGUCUUCGAGUGACAGCGAUAGCGACAGCUCGUCAGACGCCGAAAGAGCACACGGGACUUGUGGGCAAAAAUGCGACAGCGAACGAGGAAUAAACCACUGCAAGCACCACGAUCCCAGUAACACACCAGCCGAGAAAGAACCUAAAACCCCGUCUGAGUCGUGAAAACGAGAACCCACAGCGAGUUUCCUACAGUGAAAAGGAUUUCUUAAUAUCCAUCUCACACAUGUCCCCGCAGCGGGAACCGGUAUAGGUACGAGCACAAUGAAAUCCUUUUUGGACUGCUUCUCGCUUUUCUGCAGUGCAUGCUUCAUCAAAAUGUCAGCAGCGUUUUUUAGUCGGUCCACAGAUCUGCCGACUUGACUUUUUUUCCGACGUGUACCUAACGGUCCUCGCCGACAGACGGCCUCUGGGAAACGGUGAACACAGAAGAGCUGCAGGUUCUUACACUUUUUGCCUCGGGUAUUGAUCCGAUCCUUUUUCUUCUUUGCGUUUCCAUGUAUCCACGCUUCAUGCAACCAGGCGUCUGCGGUGAUUUUUGCUGGAGGUUGGGGGCCUGCAUCCAAGGUCAGCCCACCCUAGGACCAAGGUUCGUUUUAUGGUGUAGAGAGAGGAGCAAACAUGUACAGUUGCAAAUGGGUCGAGUUGCCUGUAACGGCUUUCCUGCGCUUUUCGCAAAGGUGGUGGGUCAGCGAAAGACAACCGUGAACGUCGCUGCGCCCCUGUAGUGACAAGUCGCUUGUGACUUCUUCCUUUAAAAACCGAGCAACGUGCUUUAUAUUCUGGUUGAACAUCAAUCAGAAAGCAUCCAAAUGUUCGCCUAC
This 2529-nucleotide long non-coding RNA is filed under the name Toxoplasma gondii VEG. Lineage: Eukaryota; Apicomplexa; Conoidasida; Eucoccidiorida; Sarcocystidae. The record is from RNAcentral.